GGCGACGUAGCCAAGUGGUAAGGCAAGGGUCUGCAAAAUCUUUAUGCGUGGGUUCAAUUCCCACCGUCGCCU
RNAcentral lists this transfer RNA (72 nucleotides) under Chloroflexota bacterium. Its description in RNAcentral is "Chloroflexi bacterium (mine drainage metagenome) tRNA-Cys". It matches the Rfam family "tRNA". Rfam says of the family: Transfer RNA (tRNA) molecules are approximately 80 nucleotides in length. The record is from RNAcentral. Lineage: Bacteria; Bacillati; Chloroflexota. RNAcentral also lists the same sequence under 1 other name.